UACGGAGGGGACUAGCGUUGUUCGGAAUUACUGGGCGUAAAGCGCACGUAGGCGGAUUGUUUAGUCAGGGGUGAAAUCCCGAGGCUCAACCUCGGAACUGCCUUUGAUACUGGCAAUCUCGAGUCCGGAAGAGGUGAGUGGAAUUCCUAGUGUAGAGGUGAAAUUCGUAGAUAUUCGGAGGAACACCAGUGGCGAAGGCGGCUCACUGGUCCGGUACUGACGCUGAGGUGCGAAAGCGUGGGGAGCAAACAGG
RNAcentral lists this ribosomal RNA (253 nucleotides) under uncultured bacterium. Its description in RNAcentral is "partial 16S ribosomal RNA". It matches the Rfam family "Bacterial small subunit ribosomal RNA", at positions 524 to 776 of the family's 1533-position model. The record is from RNAcentral.